RNAcentral lists this ribosomal RNA (240 nucleotides) under uncultured bacterium. RNAcentral describes it as "partial 16S ribosomal RNA". It matches the Rfam family "Bacterial small subunit ribosomal RNA", at positions 334 to 571 of the family's 1533-position model. The record is from RNAcentral.
CCAUCCUACGGGGGGCAGCAGUGAGGAAUAUUGGUCAAUGGGCGAGAGCCUGAACCAGCCAAGUCGCGUGAGGGAAGACGGUCCUAUGGAUUGUAAACCUCUUUUGCCGGGGAGCAAAAAGCGGUACGUGUACCGCAUCGAGAGUGCCCGGAGAAAAAGCAUGGGCUAACUCCGUGCCAGCAGCCGCGGUAGUACGGAGGAUGCGAGCGUUAUCCGGAUUUAUUGGGUUUAAAGGGAGGG